RNAcentral lists this ribosomal RNA (445 nucleotides) under uncultured bacterium. Its description in RNAcentral is "partial 16S ribosomal RNA". It matches the Rfam family "Bacterial small subunit ribosomal RNA", at positions 354 to 796 of the family's 1533-position model. The record is from RNAcentral.
GUGAGGAAUAUUGGUCAAUGGACGAGAGUCUGAACCAGCCAAGUCGCGUGAAGGAAGACGGUUCUAUGAAUUGUAAACUUCUUUUGUGCAGGAAUAAAGUGGGUUACGUGUAACCUUUUGUAUGUACUGUACGAAUAAGGAUCGGCUAACUCCGUGCCAGCAGCCGCGGUAAUACGGAGGAUCCGAGCGUUAUCCGGAUUUAUUGGGUUUAAAGGGUGCGCAGGCGGGUUGAUAAGUCAGCGGUGAAAGUUUGCAGCUUAACUGUAAAAUUGCCGUUGAAACUGUCGAUCUUGAGUGCAAAUGAGGUAAGCGGAAUGUGUUGUGUAGCGGUGAAAUGCUUAGAUAUAACACAGAACACCGAUUGCGAAGGCAGCUUACUGGGAUGCAACUGACGCUCAUGCACGAAAGCGUGGGGAUCAAAUAGGAUUAGAAACCCCAGUAGUCC